UACCCAUUACCAUCUUCCCAUGGGUGGUUUGGUGGUGACAGGUUAACUUGGUAUUUGUUGGUAAAUCAAGUCUUUGAAUGUUUAUUUGCUCCUUUAGUUCCUAAACCGAGCAUGAGAAGUCACAUCCGUGUGACUUGUGUAAGUUUUUACAUCCGCCAAGUUACCUGGUGUUUGGAAAUUAUUUCUAUAUCCAUGCCAUGGUUGAGUUGCUAUAUUUGCUUCUUGUAACUUUUCUCGCUGGCAAUCAAGCACUAUCUAAUGGAAAUAAGGGAAAUUAGUAAAUUGAGUUGUCUCACAGAUGUUAUCUGUACUAACC
This 316-nucleotide long non-coding RNA is filed under the name Carica papaya (papaya). Its description in RNAcentral is "long non-coding RNA (CPAP_LNC007123)". The record is from RNAcentral. Lineage: Eukaryota; Viridiplantae; Streptophyta; Magnoliopsida; Brassicales; Caricaceae.